UCCUGUUGUUCCUUGAAGUGUUGCCCACAU
Molecule: non-coding RNA, 30 nt
Filed under: Mus musculus (house mouse)
Lineage: Eukaryota; Metazoa; Chordata; Mammalia; Rodentia; Muridae
Source: RNAcentral